GCAAGAGUGUCUCCAAGUUUUGCUGGCCUCAUCAGCAGCAUGGGGAAGAGUGACAGACACACGACGGCCACCACCAGAACUGAGUAUGGGCCUCGUUCCUGAGUUCCUUAUUUCUGAAAUGAGGAUGAGAGCUUCCCGCCGGCAAAGCACGUCUGUCCUGUCUGCUACAGUGGGCUCAGUGGGGUUCCAAGCUCCCACUGGCAAAGCACCAGGAACGAGUUACAAAGUGUGCUGAACUACCCAUGGAGGGGCCACAUCUGAUCUUCAGAGCAAGCCUCUGCCCCUUCCUCCCACCGGGUUCCAAUAUCCAAGAGUCAGACCUUAUGUUUCCAGCCGCUGGUGCGUAGAGGUGCUUGAUUAAAUCUUUUGAUAAGAAUUAAGUUUUGGUCCAUCACUGAGAAGAGAGCAUAAUUAACAGGCUUUAAAAAAAAAUAGGCUGCUUGUUAGAGCGGUUUUAGAUUCACAGUAACAUUGAGGGGACAGUACAGAGUGCUCCCUCACCCCUGCACCGGUUAUGGUUGAUGACCCUGCACGGAUCCACCAUCAUCACCCAGAGUCCAUAGUUCACGCCAGGGCUCACUCUUGGUGUUGUGCAUUCCGUGGGGUUCG
Molecule: long non-coding RNA, 609 nt
Filed under: Felis catus (domestic cat)
Lineage: Eukaryota; Metazoa; Chordata; Mammalia; Carnivora; Felidae
Description: lncRNA (ENSFCAG00000053847.1)
Source: RNAcentral